UGACAUUUUUUUUCCUACGUGUGCCCUAACGAUGAAUUACUGAACGGUUUCCGAAGUGUCUAUGAUAUCUAUAAUCGAGACAGACGUUGGGAAGUCCAGUGUUGUCCAAUGAUUAAUCGUCGCCGUGAACAGUGUCAUUUCACCGAGUACCUCAACCUGUAUGGCAGUUCGUUUGAAUAUACUGUACCCCAAGGUGAAUUUGUACGGGGAAUCCGCAGUACCUAUGCUGAGUUGGUAAAUGACCGUAGAUAUGCAUAUGAAGUUUGUGCAUUCUCGUAAGAGCACCAUUGCGACAGCACGGAUUGUAGUCAACGGUUUGCCAAUGUAUGGAAACAGACAACUAGGACUCGUUAAAUGUAGCCAACCCAGCGUUAAAUGUCCAUCCUUUUAUUCAUAAUAAACCCUUCAGCAGAUUGU
This is a long non-coding RNA of Pecten maximus, 417 nucleotides long. RefSeq lists it as uncharacterized. NCBI's taxonomy places the organism in Eukaryota, Metazoa, Mollusca, Bivalvia, Pectinida, Pectinidae. The record is from RefSeq and is a predicted model, not a curated record. The transcript is spliced from 3 exons.